Long non-coding RNA from Polyodon spathula (Mississippi paddlefish), 1065 nucleotides. RefSeq lists it as uncharacterized. Lineage: Eukaryota; Metazoa; Chordata; Actinopteri; Acipenseriformes; Polyodontidae. The transcript is spliced from 3 exons. The record is from RefSeq and is a predicted model, not a curated record.
UCUGGCUUCAGAAACAGAUUUACAGCUUCAUUGCUCUUGCCAGCACCUUUCAAUACAGGUGUUAUCUGUAGUUUUAUUUGCAUCUACUGUAAACUAUACUUUAUUUAAAUAUUAGUCUUGCAUUGUAACCCUUUACUGUCUUGUAACACCUCUAAGUUGCCUUGAAGAAGAAGAAGAAGAAGAAGAAGAAGAAGAAGAAGAAGAAGAAGAAGAAGAAGAAGAAGAAGAAGAAUUGGCUCAAGUUUUAUGAAAAUGACCUAUAGGCAGGCUGGAGAGCGAGAGAGCAGCACAGAGGAAGCUGUCUUUGUCUCCUGGGAAAAUGAUAUGGAAAUGCAAGUAAACGGUGACCUUUACAAAGAGAGAUAAUGACUGCAGCUCCCUCUCCAGUGUGGGAUCGCAUUACCCGUGAAUCCUCCAUCCCUUCAGUGUGGGAUCCCAUUACCCGUGAAUCCUCCGUCCCUUCAGUGCGGGGUUGAGGUGAACAGCACACACUGGUCCCGGAGUGCCCUUUCAGUCUCAUUGAGAUGCUUUUCGUUCUCCUCCCGUUCUUCCAGCCCUCUGCAGGCUCCUGUGCUCGACUGAGCCGUGAAGAAUCUCCCGCUGGCUCGCCAUGCGUCAAAGUAAUUAAGACUUCCUGUUAAUCUGCUUCUGCUUCAGCAGCAAGGUCAACGAGACCCCAGGCAGCAACGGUGUGUAAUGGGAAUGACAUUAACCCCUUAACCUCCAGAGUCCUCUAUUUCAGACAGUCUCCCUGUUUCUGACACCGCGGCAACACUGGCCUCUUUAAAACCCCUGUUACGUAUGCAUACCAGAUGCUACGAUCUGGACAGACAAUAACAUUCACAAUGGCUGGAGGCAAAAGGGUUGAAAUUGUAAAGGGUGUUAAACAGCCAUGCAUCUGCCCAUCCCGUUCUUUAUUUAGCAACCCCCUUUCAUUUUUUUGAAAACGAUUAUCAAAGUCAACCUCUCAAAGAUAUACUAAAUAAACUCUUAUAUAUUAAAAUGGUUUCGUUAAAAAAACACAUAUACAACAUUAAAGCUAAUAAUACAUAAAUUAAAACUAAU